UCAGAGUAUAGCUAAGAUAGAAUAGCAUUUCCCUUACACUGAAAAGUCAUCCGUGCAAACCGGAUUACCCUGAU
RNAcentral lists this transfer RNA (74 nucleotides) under Thunnus alalunga (albacore). Its description in RNAcentral is "tRNA-Val". It matches the Rfam family "tRNA". Rfam says of the family: Transfer RNA (tRNA) molecules are approximately 80 nucleotides in length. Their secondary structure includes four short double-helical elements and three loops (D, anti-codon, and T loops). Further hydrogen bonds mediate the characteristic L-shaped molecular structure. tRNAs have two regions of fundamental functional importance: the anti-codon, which is responsible for specific mRNA codon recognition, and the 3' end, to which the tRNAs corresponding amino acid is attached (by aminoacyl-tRNA synthetases). tRNAs cope with the degeneracy of the genetic code in two manners: having more than one tRNA (with a specific anti-codon) for a particular amino acid; and 'wobble' base-pairing, i.e. permitting non-standard base-pairing at the 3rd anti-codon position. RNAcentral also lists the same sequence under 1 other name. The record is from RNAcentral. Lineage: Eukaryota; Metazoa; Chordata; Actinopteri; Scombriformes; Scombridae.